Molecule: long non-coding RNA, 1746 nt
Filed under: Capsella rubella
Lineage: Eukaryota; Viridiplantae; Streptophyta; Magnoliopsida; Brassicales; Brassicaceae
Description: long non-coding RNA (CRUB_LNC003486)
Source: RNAcentral
CAAGACAUUUAUAAAGGUGUCCCCAUUGUCCUUUACAUCUUUUGCAGCCAAUAUGAAUUUGAAUUGUUUUUUUUUUUUUUCAAUUUUAACAAUUUAUUUUUGUUUUUAUUGGUACAAUUCGUUGGGCCUUGUGAUUUUGUCUUAUGGUUUGAGUGCGAUAAAGAUACUUUCUUCUCUCCCUUCAAGCUUGGAGCCCCACCUCAAUAAAUCCUCCUUUGCUGCCAUGGCACACACUUGAGGAUACUCUUUCUUUCUUUGGUCUGGUAAAAUCUCUUUAAUGUCACCGUCACCGCCAUUAAUCGUCUACCUUUCUUGGCAGCAAAAGUUACCUUUGUCGACAACCUUCGAUCACUUGUACACCAUCCAAACCAUGUAUGAUACUGAAAAUUUCAUAGUGGUUAGUAAGAAACAAUGUAAAAAUUCUACGGUCGAGCAGAAAUGUAGUUUAAGAGAUCAUGUACGAUCAUGUUUUUCAAAAGCCUUUCUGAUACGCUACUGGUCAAAAUGGUAAACCAAAUACUAUUAAUUUUGUUACCUCAUCAAGUAGAUAUUUGAUGGUUAAAGUUUCUGUAUACUUUUCAACAUUCAUUGUCUAUCUUAGUUUAUCUUUGUGAAAAGAAUAGAUUUUCUGAUGAAUUGACACCAAGAACAGUGGAGCAGCCAGUGGGACUUUCAUUAAAUGAUGAAGGAAUCACACAAGGAAAGGUUUUUCAUCUCCUUUCUUCUUGCUCCCCACCACAUUAGUGCUUCCUCUCUCACAUUUACAAGGUUAGACUCUCUAAUUUUACAAUGGUCGAAAUUCCUAGUUUGUUUACCGCAGUCAUAGUUUUCUGAUCUACAUCUUUAGAGAGAGAGAGUGGCCAUUAGUGUAAAUGUGUUUGCAUAAAACUUUUGAUGCUUCCACAGGGAGAAUUUUGCCAUUUGCAGAGCAAUCACUAAUUGAAUUAAGAACAAGUCUAAGCUAAUGACAUCAUAGACAACCAAUUAAUUACUUGCAACUACUUUGCAUUUUCCAUUUUUUCUAUAAUUAGGAUCUAUAAAUCAUUAAGAUUUUUUGCUCUUAAGUUUCUUCAAAUACCAUCAAUCCUCUAUGUCUGAUUUACUUUUCCCAUUAUAGUGCCAGCUUCCACUUCUUCACCGUCAUUUAACAGCAUUUACUAUUGUGGAGUUCUUGAAAAAGCUAACAAAAAUGUGAAAUACUCGAAAAGAAAUCAAUAAACACGUUUUCAUAAAGCAGUAUAACUUAGUAGGGUAACUAGUUAUAGAGAGUAACUAUAAGAACUUGGUAGCUUUCAAGAAACCAGACCUUAAUAGGAUAACCUGUAGUAAGAAACCUUGAGCAUCUUCUUGACCCUAGUUUAAGCACCUUUAGUGAGGAUUCUUUUACAUUUUAUACAUAGUUUUUAAGAUGAGUUUUGAGCCAGGAAACCGAUGGAGACUGUCGAUAGCGAACUUUGAUACGAGAAAAAUGUGGAAAAUUAACAAGAAUGGUUUCAAUGUCAAAACUGUUCAAGGACCACAGAGUUAGUUUGUUUAAGGCUAAUGAGGAGAAGAAAAAACAUUCUUCUCUAUGACAUUAUCCUAAGUUGCAAGUUUAUCAAAAUGAGGGCUAUUGAUAGAUGUUGACCUUAAAAUUUACUCCAGGUUCUGAAAUUAACUGUUUUACCUUGUGUUGAGAGGUACAAUUCCAAGGUAAGGAUGGCCACUUUUUGGGUGCUCUGUUGAGUCUUUAAAAGGAAAUCAAGG